GUGAGGAAUAUUGGUCAAUGGACGAGAGUCUGAACCAGCCAAGUCGCGUGAAGGAAGACGGUUCUAUGAAUUGUAAACUUCUUUUGUGCAGGAAUAAAGUGGGUUACGUGUAACCUUUUGUAUGUACUGUACGAAUAAGGAUCGGCUAACUCCGUGCCAGCAGCCGCGGUAAUACGGAGGAUCCGAGCGUUAUCCGGAUUUAUUGGGUUUAAAGGGUGCGUAGGUGGAUUGAUAAGUUAGCGGUGAAAGUUUGCAGCUUAACUGUAAAAUUGCCGUUGAAACUGUCGGUCUUGAGUGCAAAUGAGGUAGGCGGAAUGUGUUGUGUAGCGGUGAAAUGCUUAGAUAUAACACAGAACUCCGAUUGCGAAGGCAGCUUACUGGGAUGCAACUGACACUGAUGCACGAAAGCGUGGGUAUCAAACAGGAUUAGAAACCCCUGUAGUCC
Molecule: ribosomal RNA, 445 nt
Filed under: uncultured bacterium
Lineage: Bacteria
Description: partial 16S ribosomal RNA
Rfam family: Bacterial small subunit ribosomal RNA
Source: RNAcentral